GCUAUCAUUUGCUCUGGACCAGGUGGCGGGAUCUAGGGUUCUGUUGUCACCGCGCUAGGGAGCGGUCAGGCUGGGCGGCGGGGCCGGGCUCGGGGGUUGCAGUAAAUGAGACACCGCUGCUGGUUGCCAGACUUGGUGUAGAAGGUAAAGCACAGUGAAAUAAUUGAAGAUGGCCCCUAAUAUAAACUGGAAAGAAAUCAUGAAAGUUGACCCAGAUGACCUUCCUCGUCAAGAAUUGGCAGAUAAUUUAUUGAUUUCCUUAUCUAAUAAAACCAAUUAAAAACUAAAGUAAUGAAACUGGAAAAUGAACUGGAGGUGCUAUUCUAGGCCUUUCGGAUAUACACUGGAGAACAAAACAAAGAUCCCAGGCCUACUGAACUUAUAUUCUCACAAGGAGACUGACAAUAAACAUCAGAGGGAAAUUCUCAGGAAUGAGAAACAUAUCAGAGCAGGUCAGAAAAGAUGAAACCUCCUCCAUUAUUCCACCAGAUUCUGUCACCCUCAACAGAGAGGUUGUGGCUGGCAUUGAUUUUUUUUUCUGAUAAAUCAGAAUAUUGUCAGGCCAGGAACAAGAAGAAAAGAGUCACUGACAGCUUUAUUUCUUGGGAUCUUGAAGGACUGACCCAACUUAGAUGGUCCUGGAGGAAUUCAAAGCAAAUAAAUACAUAUACACCUGGGUAUGUCUAAAUAAAUUUAUUUCCAAGAACUACUAGGUGUUGAGAAACCAUGCAGAGUUUUGAAUAGAGGAGGUGGACAUCAACUGCAGAACCCUUAUUGAAGU
Long non-coding RNA from Manis pentadactyla (Chinese pangolin), 781 nucleotides. RefSeq lists it as uncharacterized. The transcript has 8 exons. Lineage: Eukaryota; Metazoa; Chordata; Mammalia; Pholidota; Manidae. The record is from RefSeq and is a predicted model, not a curated record.